Leopardus geoffroyi (Geoffroy's cat) is the source of this 1134-nucleotide long non-coding RNA. RefSeq lists it as uncharacterized. The record is from RefSeq and is a predicted model, not a curated record. The transcript is spliced from 2 exons. Lineage: Eukaryota; Metazoa; Chordata; Mammalia; Carnivora; Felidae.
UGUAGUUUGGCUUGAGUGAGGCCCCUGGUCUCUGCACAACUGAUGCUUCUUUCUGUCCAUUCAGAGUCUGUCAAGUCGGCUCUGGAUUCGUUUGAGUUCUGGAAAAUUCAUCAGCGUGACCCAGAGGAGGGCUCCGAACGUCCGCAGCUGGCCCUGCCCGCCCAGCGCGGCCCUGCCCUCCCUCCUGCAGCUGCUGUCCACGGCCAAGGAACUUUGCUCAGUUACUAGAGCUCGCGGUGGUCCGGGUCCACGGCCAGCCUCCUUCACACGACCUCAUGCCCAUUAUGCUGUCAGAUCGCUCCGGGCUCCCAUUCAGCCAUCAGAGGGCUGUGGAACAUCGGCCUGGGCUGGCUCCAGGGCCGGGCAGUGACACGGAGCGCGGGGCCUGCCUCUGAGGCGCUCAGUCUGCAGCUCACUGCUCUGCACCCCAAGAGGCUCCAUCUGAGAGGCUGGAAAAAAAGUGCCUGCUCCUCAGGGUCCAGCACAGGGCCCGGCGCUCAGGAGCCGGAGAGGGACCUCAAAAGGCUCGGGUCCGCCGGGCCGAAGCAGACCACCCGCGAGUGCAGCCCGCCAGCCUCGCGGGGCCCCCAGCGGGACCGGCCACCCACCCCACCCUCGAUUUUCCUGCCCCGUCCAGCGGAUGCAGGUCCGGCACGACGACUCGCGCGCAGACCGGAAUCACGUUUCUUUACCGCAGGUUCUCAGCCUCAUGCUCUUGACAUCUGGGGCCAGAUGAUGGUCCGUCGUGGGCCGUCCUGCGCAUCGCGGCUGUUGAGCGUUAUUCCUGGCUCCACCCACUAGAUGCCAGCCUCCCCCACUGGCGGCAAAACACCGCAUAUCCAGACACUGUCACGUGGCCCCCGGGGGGCCAAACUGCCUUCGGCUGAGAGCCACUGAUGUCCCUGGAUUGGGGACAAGUGCUCGGCUGGCCUUCCUGGCAGGUCACGUCCCUCCUCACACCGUGCACACAGACGCGUGGUCACGUACCCAGGACUUCUUCCAGGGAGCAUGACCGUUACUCCCGGUAGAUGCUCACGGGCCCACGGUCCUUAAAAGUUCAGUCCCAUGAUCUAGAAGCAUCAGGAACUUUUUCUGUUAAGGGUUGUGACACAGUAAAUAUUUUUGGCAUCGCGG